Molecule: long non-coding RNA, 479 nt
Organism: Megalobrama amblycephala (Wuchang bream)
Lineage: Eukaryota; Metazoa; Chordata; Actinopteri; Cypriniformes; Xenocyprididae
Exons: 3
Source: RefSeq, a predicted model, not a curated record
CAGAAAUCAGAUAACAUUGUACUGCUAAAAUGACUGCUUUUGUAUUAUGUUUGUAGGAUGCGAAAUGUCCUCAGACUGGUGUGAGCACUGAGGAUGGAGAGACACAGCAGAUCCUGGGAAUGGUUCCGUGUCAUGGAUGAGACUCUCCAUCACUCCUCCUGCCCUUACUGCCUCAUCUGACCUGAUGUUGAUGUGAUUUCUUCAUCCUCAGGAUGAUCCCGUUGGAGCAACCUGGAGUAAAGUGUCUUGAUCAAGGACACACUGGUGGAGACACUGCAGAGAUCAAACCAGCAACCUUCUGCUGACCAGCUCAGUGGUUUAGGCCACUACACCACAAACUCAUGCUGAUGGAGAGCACAUGAAUGUUUGCAGCAGACACAGCAGAGCCAGAUUGUCUCGCACAUCUUUUCCCACUCCUGCUUCAAGCUUGUGGGGUUCAGAGGAUCAUCAUCAUGGUCUUCCUCAUCCUCUGGAUCAAC